RNAcentral lists this transfer RNA (68 nucleotides) under Ixodes scapularis (black-legged tick). Its description in RNAcentral is "tRNA-Thr". The stretch from base 3 to 60 matches the Rfam family "tRNA", at positions 8 to 63 of the family's 71-position model. Rfam says of the family: Transfer RNA (tRNA) molecules are approximately 80 nucleotides in length. Their secondary structure includes four short double-helical elements and three loops (D, anti-codon, and T loops). Lineage: Eukaryota; Metazoa; Arthropoda; Arachnida; Ixodida; Ixodidae. The record is from RNAcentral.
GCUAGCUCAAUUGGUAGAGCGCUCCACCUGUAAUGGAGAGGUCCCGGGUUCGAUACCCGGACCAGGCA